GACAGAAGGACUCGGUACAUCCGAAACCCUGGAAGCUCCUGCUGCCUCUCCUGGAUCCACGCAGAGAACAAGAGGAAGCCUUGAGUCCCAGGAAGUAGCCCGCCACAGCAAGGCAACAUCUCGGCGCCUGAUCCGCUGUGAUUUGAUCUGCCACGCCACCUCGGAGACAGACAGAGCAACCCUUCAUUCCGGUCACACUCGCAGCACUUUGCUGGGUCAGCCGCUGUGACUCAGUGCUGCGCCCCAGACCAGGCUGGCGCACGUGGCUGUGCACACGCGCUCUGGCUUCCAGGAGGCACAGCCAUCGCGCGAGGCCUCCUGGGGGCCCAGGCCAGGGGCGCCGGUGCCUACUCAUUAAUUAUUAAAGGAGGGCGGUUUUAUCUUGUCCGCUGGCAGAAUCGAGGCCAAAGUAGAAGAAGAAAGACCAAUUUAGAGGGUUGUCUUCUCUUUGCUCCACCCGGGGACCAGUGAUUAUCACUCAAGUUCACAUUGAUUAUAUUCCUAUGAUCUCUUCUCAA
Molecule: long non-coding RNA, 518 nt
Organism: Peromyscus eremicus (cactus mouse)
Lineage: Eukaryota; Metazoa; Chordata; Mammalia; Rodentia; Cricetidae
Exons: 2
Source: RefSeq, a predicted model, not a curated record